RNAcentral lists this ribosomal RNA (298 nucleotides) under uncultured bacterium. RNAcentral's name for it is "partial 16S ribosomal RNA". It matches the Rfam family "Bacterial small subunit ribosomal RNA", at positions 337 to 632 of the family's 1533-position model. The record is from RNAcentral.
ACCUACGGGACGCAGCAGUGAGGAAUAUUGGUCAAUGGGCGGGAGCCUGAACCAGCCAAGUCGCGUGAGGGAAGACGGUCCUAUGGAUUGUAAACCUCUUUUGUCGGGGAGCAAAGAGGCCUCGUGAGGUCAAAAGCGAGAGUACCCGAAGAAAAAGCAUCCGCUAACUCCGUGCCAGCAGCCGCGGUAAUACGGAGGAUGCGAGCGUUAUCCGGAUUUAUUGGGUUUAAAGGGUGCGCAGGCGGAGGUGCAAGUCAGCGGUCAAAUUGCGGGGCUCAACCCCGUACUGCCGUUGACA